UAACCUGGAGGAAGGUGGGGAUGACGUCAAAUCAUCAUGCCCCUUAUGCUUAGGGCUACACACGUGCUACAAUGGGUAGUACAGAGGGUUGCCAAGCCGUAAGGUGGAGCUAAUCCCUUAAAGCUACUCUCAGUUCGGAUUGUAGGCUGAAACUCGCCUACAUGAAGCUGGAGUUACUAGUAAUCGCAGAUCAGAAUGCUGCGGUGAAUGCGUUCCCGGGUCUUGUACACACCGCCCGUCACACCCCGGGCGUUGGAGACGCCCGAAGCCGAUUAUCUAACCUUUUGGAAGAAGUCGUCGAAGGUGGAAUCAAUAACUGGGGUGAAGUCGUAACAAGGUAGCCGUAUCGGAAGGUGCGGCUGGAUCACCUCCUUUCUAAGGAGA
This 384-nucleotide ribosomal RNA is filed under the name Clostridioides difficile. Its description in RNAcentral is "bacterial SSU rRNA". It matches the Rfam family "Bacterial small subunit ribosomal RNA", at positions 1159 to 1533 of the family's 1533-position model. Lineage: Bacteria; Bacillati; Bacillota; Clostridia; Peptostreptococcales; Peptostreptococcaceae. The record is from RNAcentral.